This 839-nucleotide long non-coding RNA is filed under the name Vigna radiata. RNAcentral describes it as "long non-coding RNA (VRAD_LNC000698)". The record is from RNAcentral. Lineage: Eukaryota; Viridiplantae; Streptophyta; Magnoliopsida; Fabales; Fabaceae.
GUGUCAAAGAGGUUUGACUGCCUUUAUCUUAGCUUGCAUAAAAUGUUUUUAUUUUAUAUUUAUAUUCAAACUUUGCUGCAACCUUGCAAUUUGUUUGUCUUAAGCAAAGUUUACCAUUCUAUCCCAUAAUAAUUCUACAAACUCCUUCAAAGUUGGUUCCCUUAAUUUACAGAUGUGAAUAAUAGAUGCUUGAGGAAAGGAAGUCCUACCAUCUUAGCUGUUCUUCUUUGUGUGAUGUGUUGUGUCAAUUACAUUGACAGAAGGCUAGAGAUCAGAAAUAACCCCUCUCAAUGGUGUUAAAAUCCCAUAUUGGUAAGGAAUAUAUCUAAAAGUACUUAUAAAAUUUGGCAAUCAUUUGGGUUAAGAAUCAAAGUGUAUCCAAUCCUAGUUUUGGGUCUCUAAUAGAUGUUUAGUCUGGCAAUCAUUUGGGUUAAUUUUAGUUUUUCCCUUUUUUAAUAUCAGGUGUUUCAUACUCAUAUCUCUAAUUUAAUUUUAGUUUUUCCCUUUUUUAAUAACAGGUACCAGGUUUUGCUGGGAACAAAAAAGACUAAGGAUAACGUACUAGAAAGUUCUUGAAAAUUUAUUACUUGCAUUAAGAAGUAUUUGCUUAUCUCAAACUAUUGGAGGAAAUAGGAAAUAAAUGUAUUUUUGAAUGUUUGUAUAUGCUGCUCUUUAGACAUAUUGUAAGGGAUUUGUUAUUUGUAAUUGGAGAUAAACAUUUGGUAUUCUUUUUUAAAUUUGGCAAUUGUAUGUGACUUUUAUCAGUAAUUAGAAACAGUUAGUUAUUGGGUGUAGAUUUGAGAUCAUUUAAUUUUUUUUUUAUAAAACAUAAAGUUACA